Molecule: transfer RNA, 72 nt
Filed under: Camelus bactrianus (Bactrian camel)
Lineage: Eukaryota; Metazoa; Chordata; Mammalia; Artiodactyla; Camelidae
Also listed under: 2 other names
Rfam family: tRNA
About the family: Transfer RNA (tRNA) molecules are approximately 80 nucleotides in length. Their secondary structure includes four short double-helical elements and three loops (D, anti-codon, and T loops).
Source: Rfam by way of RNAcentral
GAGGGUAUAGCUCGGUGGUGGAGCAUGUGCUUAGCAUGCAUCGGGUCCUGAGUUCAAUCCCCAGUACCUCCA